UGGGGAAUAUUGCACAAUGGGCGCAAGCCUGAUGCAGCCAUGCCGCGUGUAUGAAGAAGGCCUUCGGGUUGUAAAGUACUUUCAGCGGGGAGGAAGGGAGUAAAGUUAAUACCUUUGCUCAUUGACGUUACCCGCAGAAGAAGCACCGGCUAACUCCGUACCAGCAGCCGUGGUAAUACGGAGGGUGCAAGCGUUAAUCGGAAUUACUGGGCGUAAAGCGCACGCAGGCGGUUUGUUAAGUCAGAUGUGAAAUCCCCGGGCUCAACCUGGGAACUGCAUCUGAUACUGGCAAGCUUGAGUCUCGUAGAGGGGGGUAGAAUUCCAGGUGUAGCGGUGAAAUGCGUAGAGAUCUGGAGGAAUACCGGUGGCGAAGGCGGCCCCCUGGACGAAGACUGACGCUCAGGUGCGAAAGCGUGGGGAGCAAACAGG
Molecule: ribosomal RNA, 429 nt
Filed under: Chloroflexota bacterium
Lineage: Bacteria; Bacillati; Chloroflexota
Description: Chloroflexi bacterium partial 16S ribosomal RNA
Rfam family: Bacterial small subunit ribosomal RNA
Source: RNAcentral